RNAcentral lists this ribosomal RNA (395 nucleotides) under uncultured bacterium. RNAcentral describes it as "partial 16S ribosomal RNA". It matches the Rfam family "Bacterial small subunit ribosomal RNA", at positions 523 to 918 of the family's 1533-position model. The record is from RNAcentral.
AUACGUAGGGUGCAAGCGUUAAUCGGAAUUACUGGGCGUAAAGCGUGCGCAGGCGGUUUUGUAAGACGGAGGUGCAAUCCCCGGGCUCAACCUGGGAACUUCCUUUGUGACUGCAAGGCUAGAGUAACGCAGAGGGGGAUGGAAUUUCGCGGGUAGCAGUGAAAUGCGUAGAUAUGCGGAGGAAAACCGAUGGCGAAGGCAAUCCCCUAGGCCUGUACUGACGCUCAGUCACGAAAGCGUGGGGAGCAAACGGGAUGAGAUACCCUGGUAGUCCACGCCCUAAACGAUGUCAACUGGUUAUUGGGUCUUCAUGGACUCAGCAACGAAGCCAACGCGAAAAGUAAACAGCCUGGCGAGUACGGCCGCAAGGUUGAAACUGAAAUGAAUUGACGGGG